RNAcentral lists this ribosomal RNA (525 nucleotides) under uncultured bacterium. Its description in RNAcentral is "partial 16S ribosomal RNA". It matches the Rfam family "Bacterial small subunit ribosomal RNA", at positions 33 to 541 of the family's 1533-position model. The record is from RNAcentral.
AUUGAACGCUGGCGGCAGGCCUAACACAUGCGAGUCGAGCGGAUGAAGGGAGCUUGCUCCUGGAUUCAGCGGCGGACGGGUGAGUAAUGCCUAGGAAUCUGCCUGGUAGUGGGGGAUAACGUCCGGAAACGGGCGCUAAUACCGCAUACGUCCUGAGGGAGAAAGUGGGGGAUCUUCGGACCUCACGCUAUCAGAUGAGCCUAGGUCGGAUUAGCUAGUUGGUGGGGUAAAGGCCUACCAAGGCGACGAUCCGUAACUGGUCUGAGAGGAUGAUCAGUCAAGUGGGAAGCGAGGCACGCGCCGGAAGUCAGGGGGAGGGGGGAGUGGGAAUGAUGGGACGAGGGGCAGCCGCCGUAUCCGGCCAUGCGGUGUGUGUGAAGGGUUGCUUGGGAUUGAAAAGCUGUUUAGGGGGGGAGGAGGGGUAGUAAGUUAAUCCCUUGCUUUUUCGACGUAACCAACAGAAUAAGCACCGGCCAUCUGCGUGCCGGCAGCGGGGUUAAUAGAACGAAAGAGCCCACGUAGACC